GUCGAGCUUGGUAACGCGGGCUUGUAAUCCAAGUAGAGACGAUAAGGUGAUGGGACAUUGGGCCGAUCUCUUUGGGCCGGACUCGGUUACGGCUAUCUACUGGCCUGCCCGUUCCAAGUCGGGAGUUGAGUGUUCGGACUCGAGCGAAAGCUUGUGGUUCGGACACUCUUAGAGCGGAGGAGACUGCGUGAGGCUGGUUUCACAGAGCAGCGUCCACCUCCCGCUUUCGACGGUGGAAGGAUUACGGGCCGGUGCCUCCCAAGCCCACUAUGACCCAAUAAGCCGGCUCCAAUUGGACCAUCACUUUU
This 308-nucleotide signal recognition particle RNA is filed under the name Brassica napus (rape). RNAcentral's name for it is "SRP RNA Plant_SRP". It matches the Rfam family "Plant signal recognition particle RNA". Lineage: Eukaryota; Viridiplantae; Streptophyta; Magnoliopsida; Brassicales; Brassicaceae. The record is from Rfam by way of RNAcentral.